Long non-coding RNA from Triticum dicoccoides, 1033 nucleotides. RefSeq lists it as uncharacterized. Lineage: Eukaryota; Viridiplantae; Streptophyta; Magnoliopsida; Poales; Poaceae. The record is from RefSeq and is a predicted model, not a curated record. The transcript is spliced from 3 exons.
UCUCCCCUCACGGUUCGCCCCACCAGAUCUAACCCUGUCCUCCUCCUUCGCCCUAACCCCAUCCCCUAGUGCCUCCUUCCACCGCCCCUGCCCCUCCUGCGCCGCCGGUGACCAGAAAAGCUCAAGGACCUCGGAAAUCUCCUACUCCGGCGGGAAGUCCUCGGCCAGCUGCCGAGCAGGGCCAGAUCCACCGGAGGAGUCAAGAUGGAUAAUGCUCAACAACAAUAUCUAUAUUACUGUAUGUGGAAGCAAAACACACUACUUGUCCUUUUUGUAAUGUUGGUCCUUUGGUGGAGCAAGAAAAAAGAGAGGAAGAAUGGAGCUAAACGUGUCAAGUAUGCUCCACUUGUGAAGAGAGAUAUUUGGAGGAGUAGUGAACUAAUUAGACUGAUCGACACCUCGGAAAGGACGUGUUUGCGCCAGCUCAGGCGUCGUUUGGAUUAUCGUUUCCAUUACAAAUACCCCCGUAAAACUAAUACAGACCUCAGCCCGUCGUUUUGUUUUUGACCUGGAAAUAGCUCUUGGCCUGUAAGUUACACGUGUAAAUAAAUUACACCCGUAUUCAGUUACAUCCAUACCAAUCGCGGCCUCAGGAUGUAUCCGGCUGUUUUCUACAAGUUGUGUGCUCACCUUAGGGACAAAAAGCUUUUGGCUGACACAAUUCAUGUGUCCGUAGAGGAGCAGGUAGCUAUGUUUUUGAAAAUUGUUGGGCAAUAUCACACUCAUUCCUCUGUAGGAUUUGCAUUGUGGCGAUCCGAAGAGACAGUGAGUAGGUAUUUUAACAUCGUCCUAUGUGCCCUUGUGAAGUUAGCCCGUGAAAUAAUCUGCACUCGGUCUACAGAUACACAUGCUAAGAUCACUACCAACCCAAACAGAUUUUAUCCCUACUUUGAGGGAUGUAUAGGGGCAGUAGAUGGCACCCAUAUUAGGGCACGUGUGCCUUCAAAAUAUGUGGACAGGUUUAGGGGCCGCAAGCCAUAUCCCACACAAAAUGUCCUAGCUGCCGUGGAUUUCGAUCUUAGAUUCACGUAUG